This 72-nucleotide transfer RNA is filed under the name Camelus bactrianus (Bactrian camel). It matches the Rfam family "tRNA". Rfam says of the family: Transfer RNA (tRNA) molecules are approximately 80 nucleotides in length. Their secondary structure includes four short double-helical elements and three loops (D, anti-codon, and T loops). Further hydrogen bonds mediate the characteristic L-shaped molecular structure. tRNAs have two regions of fundamental functional importance: the anti-codon, which is responsible for specific mRNA codon recognition, and the 3' end, to which the tRNAs corresponding amino acid is attached (by aminoacyl-tRNA synthetases). tRNAs cope with the degeneracy of the genetic code in two manners: having more than one tRNA (with a specific anti-codon) for a particular amino acid; and 'wobble' base-pairing, i.e. permitting non-standard base-pairing at the 3rd anti-codon position. The record is from Rfam by way of RNAcentral. RNAcentral also lists the same sequence under 3 other names. Lineage: Eukaryota; Metazoa; Chordata; Mammalia; Artiodactyla; Camelidae.
GAGGGUAUAGCUCAACAAUAGAGUGUGUGCUUAACAUGCAUGAAGUCCUGGAUUCAAUCUCCAGUACCUCCA